CGUGACGAUACCAUCAGGAAAUUAUCCCAGUGGAACUUCAACCCGGGCUGUCCAUCGUGACAUUCCGCCUCCUUCCACCAUGCCAGCCUCUCCCACACGGGGCCCUGCAGGCUGUGGAUAUGCACUCAGAGGACUAAGGGGGUGCUCUGCAAGCGAGAGGGUUCACCAGAGGGAGCUUGGGUGCAGGUUCACCCGCUGAAGGCGCUGAUAAGUCCUGUGCUGAGGAGCUGACUUGCCCUUGUUUACUUACAAAGUGCAUUGUAGGUAAACAUGAGCCUUGUUCCAGUGUUCGAAGUACAUUGGAACGUAAGCCCUGUUUCCAGAGCAAAGUAACAGAGACCAGGUUUUUCUAGAGAGCUAAGUGGGAUGUGUAGCUCAAACAAACUGUCCUACCCUUUUUUAUUCUCAAAUGUUUGUUUUGAGUAACCGUAGUGCCAAAAUUUCAGUUCAGUAAUGGGGUGAACAAUAUGGAGAGAGACCUGGGAAAAGUCCAGGGUAGCUUGCCCAGGGGAAGACAGCAGCCACAUACCUGGGGGCCCGCCUGCUUCCUGCCCCUCUGGGUGUGCCUGAUGCGGGAGGCCCUGCCCCAGGGCGAUCUCAGCUCACUGCAACCUUUGCCUCCCAGGCUCAAUCACUUCUGCUGCCUCAGCCUCCCUAGUAGCUGGAAUUACAGGCAUGAGCCACCACGCCUGGCUAAUUUUUGUAUUUUUAGUAGAGACCGGGUUUCACCAUGUUGGCCAGGCUGGUCUCGAACUGUUGGCCUCAAGUGAUCCGCCCGCCUCAGCCUCCCAAAGUGCUGGGAUUACAGGCGUCAGCCACCGCGCCCGGCCCUGUGCCUUGCUUUUUCUACUCACUAAGAUAUAAAACAGCUCUUUUUCCAAGGCCCGGAGUACUGGGGAUUGAUGUUUCAAGGCCAAUCAAUGGGAUGCUUCGUUUUCUCCAGCAACAGGAACUCUCUCUUUUCACCUUUGCUGCCAGGAAUCUCAGAGAUAAUUUAGUGCUCAAUUUACUAACCUUACUUCACAUUCAGGUUAGAUGUUACCUCCACCUAUAUGAUAGUAAUUCCUAAUUUUAUUUUUUAUUGUCCUUUUUAUGAGUGUUUAUAUUUUAAAGUACUUUGAGUAUUUUUGGGGGGGGUGUAAAUGAGUGAUCAGUGUACAUUGUGUGUGGACUGAAGUGUAGGUAUGUAGAGAUGCUUCGCCAAACAGAUGCUUAAAAAUGAAUGGAAGUUGAGGGUGGUUUCUCUUUGGAAAGUAUCAGGUGACUUGGAAGGUGAGAGCCUGUCCAGGGUGUGUGCAC
This 1299-nucleotide long non-coding RNA is filed under the name Homo sapiens (human). RNAcentral's name for it is "non-protein coding lnc-TRPM2-2:1". The record is from RNAcentral. Lineage: Eukaryota; Metazoa; Chordata; Mammalia; Primates; Hominidae.